AACACCAGCUUGUUGGGAUCUCUGC
This 25-nucleotide non-coding RNA is filed under the name Cricetulus griseus (Chinese hamster). Lineage: Eukaryota; Metazoa; Chordata; Mammalia; Rodentia; Cricetidae. The record is from RNAcentral.